This 61-nucleotide transfer RNA is filed under the name Penthe kochi. RNAcentral's name for it is "tRNA-Cys". Lineage: Eukaryota; Metazoa; Arthropoda; Insecta; Coleoptera; Tetratomidae. The record is from RNAcentral.
AAUCUAGUAGUCUAAAAGGAUUUUAAAUUGCAAAUUUAAAGGUAACAUAAGUUCUAGGUUU